UUACGUACUUAAUUUAAUUAAAAAUAAUUUAGUUUUAGCGAUGUUUUCUAAAACCAUAAUUUAUUCAAGUAAAUUAAUUAGAUUCCGACUUAGAAUCUGAAGAGGGGACCAAAAUAAGUCUUUGCCCCUUCAAGGCAAUGGAGGGCUUCCUCCCUAUCUUAGAGCGUGGGUCCCUUCUCUUCUUUAUCUCCAGGUAAGUUGUUGAUAGGUCAAUUUUGAUUGUGCAACCGGCUGCUGUGUAUGGUUGAGAGAUUCCUCUUACAGGUAUCUUUGGUGUUUAGUUUGUUUUAUGUUCAAUAUUUCUAAUCUUUGGACCCUAUUUUCGACUUGUGGAGAAAGUGACUCUAUUAUCCAUUUUGGGGCUUGUGUGGAUUUCCAUUGCUCUGGUGGCUAUGGAGUAUCUCUAGCGGUUUUGAAGCUCCUUCGGUGGUGCCCAAUUGGAGAUGAUGGGAGAACGGUCGCCCUCCCCUCUUGCUGAAGCUCCUCCGAUUGGAUAGAGAACAUACCUAGUUAGGAACGUUUAUUUGUAGUCCUGGGCUUGUGCUAAUGCUCGAGGUUUUUUCUAUUGGACCAUUCUCUAUUUGAACCAUGGGCUUGUAUCUUGCUACAUUAUAUUUAUAUUUACAGUAAUUUUUCCUUAAAAA
RNAcentral lists this long non-coding RNA (644 nucleotides) under Manihot esculenta (cassava). Its description in RNAcentral is "long non-coding RNA (MESC_LNC004365)". The record is from RNAcentral. Lineage: Eukaryota; Viridiplantae; Streptophyta; Magnoliopsida; Malpighiales; Euphorbiaceae.